RNAcentral lists this non-coding RNA (23 nucleotides) under Cricetulus griseus (Chinese hamster). The record is from RNAcentral. Lineage: Eukaryota; Metazoa; Chordata; Mammalia; Rodentia; Cricetidae.
AGUCUGGCCCUGUGAGGAAAAGC